UUUCAUCACCCUACCAGAUUGCUCUUAUUCUUUAGUUGGAGCUUAAGCAUCAGCUUUGGAGGUACCCUCAUGGGUGUGAAUUA
Molecule: microRNA precursor, 83 nt
Filed under: Echinococcus granulosus
Lineage: Eukaryota; Metazoa; Platyhelminthes; Cestoda; Cyclophyllidea; Taeniidae
Description: microRNA egr-mir-10281 precursor
Source: miRBase by way of RNAcentral